GAAAUGCGAUAAGUAGUGUGAAUUGCAGAAUUCAGUGAAUCAUCGAAUCUUUGAACGCACAUUGCGCCCUUUGGUAUUCCUUAGGGCAUGCCUGUUCGAGCGUCAUCUAAACCUUCAAGCCCUGCUUGGUGUUGGGUGCCUGUCCCGCCUCCGCGCGCGGACUCACCUCAAAUCCAUUGGCGGCCCCCGCGUCGGCCACGAGCGCAGCAGAAACGCGAUCUCGUGAGCCCGUCCGGGCGGCUCCCAGAAGCUACACCCACCCAGUUUGACCUCGGAUCAGGUAGGGAUACCCGCUGAACUUAAAC
This 305-nucleotide unclassified non-coding RNA is filed under the name plant metagenome. Its description in RNAcentral is "partial contains 5.8S ribosomal RNA, internal transcribed spacer 2, and large subunit ribosomal RNA". The stretch from base 1 to 105 matches the Rfam family "5.8S ribosomal RNA", at positions 50 to 154 of the family's 154-position model. The record is from RNAcentral.